This 1335-nucleotide long non-coding RNA is filed under the name Medicago truncatula (barrel medic). Its description in RNAcentral is "lncRNA gene40475". Lineage: Eukaryota; Viridiplantae; Streptophyta; Magnoliopsida; Fabales; Fabaceae. The record is from RNAcentral.
GGUCCCAAAUUAAUUCUAAGUCCAAAGCCGUGCCAUUUUCUUCUCCAAAUCCAGGUGUCCUGUUUUCAUUGGUUCAGAUGUACACUUGUCAGCUAUAAAAGCAACACAGUGGCAUUUUUUUUGACACGUUUUUCCAUUCAUCAAGUGCCAACUCAUAAACACAGAGUCACACUCUCUCUCUUGUCAGUUACAAAUCAAAACAGAAAAAGCUUCAACAUUCAUCAAUGGCGUAAACCUAACCUUUUUCAGAAACAGAAACUACACAAAUUCAAGCUAUUUUUCAUGGAUUCUCAGUGAUUCUUUGAAGAAUCAUCAUCAUUGAAUCAGUAUCUUCGCAAUUCAAGGUGCGAAUUCGCCAAAGGCAAACUCCAGCACCGAUCACGAAGAUAUAGUGAGGAAGACGAAGAAGAAAGAAAGACAAUGAAGGUUUAAACCGGCGAAGAAGACGAUAAAGCAAGAAGCCAGCAAGAACACCGGUUUAUUUCCGGAUUCAAAGCCAAAUCACAUAGCAUCAGAGAUUGAAGUUUUCCGAAGAAAUACGUAACAGCGUCCAUCGAAAUUCAGGUAAAGAACUUGAAUCUCUCUUUUUUUUCUCAAGCAUAAGAACGAAGGUGAAACGAUGUAGAUUCACAGGCAAAAACGUUUUGGUCCAAAAGAUUGAGAAAAACAGUAAAACAGUUUCAAAAUCGAAGCAAAACCACAGGAUCUACACCGUUUAAGCCUUUGAGUUCCUUCGUUCCUUUCAAAAACAUCUAUCAAAGUGAAUCAACAAAGAUCUGUGCCAGAUUCAAAGAGUUUUUACCAAAAAUAUUGAAACCCUAGCUUUUGAAACCGCAACAUAAAAGCGCAGAUCUACGUUGAUCCACGCCUUGCAUGUAAAAUCCAGUGCCAUAUUCGUGUUUAGGAUGAAAAAGGAUAUCUGAAAAUGUAAGUUUUUUUGAAAACGGUGAAGUUCGUUCAACUCCGGCGGCGGCGCCGCCACCCUUGGGCGGCCGGCCACCACGCCGGAGGAUCAAACCUCACCGGGGAAGAUGAAGAUCUUCCGUGUUUUCCAGAAUCCGGGGAAAGGUGAGAGAGAAAGCCAAGUAAAAAAUGAAAUAAACCGGAGCUCUGCUGCUUUUAUAAGCCAGUGAACCGGACCGGUCCAAGACCGGUCCAGUCCCUUUGUUCCUGGCCGUUUGAUCUAGGGUUUCAGAACCCUGGAUCAAUCGUACGUCCCCUGUGCAUCCGGAUCUUUUGAGUGUGGGCUUUGGGUUUGGGCUUAGUCUGUUUUCACGUUUUUUUUGUUUUUUUGCUACCUGCACCAUACUUGCCUGUUGUUUGCACCCGUUGUUC